GAUGAACGCUGGCGGCGUGCCUAAUACUUGCAAGUCGAGCGAACAGACGAGGAGCUUGCUCCUCUGACGUUAGCGGCGGACGGGUGAGUAACACGUGGAUAACCUACCUAUAAGACUGGGAUAACUUCGGGAAACCGGAGCUAAUACCGGAUAAUAUAUUGAACCGCAUGGUUCAAUAGUGAAAGACGGUUUUGCUGUCACUUAUAGAUGGAUCCGCGCCGCAUUAGCUAGUUGGUAAGGUAACGGCUUACCAAGGCAACGAUGCGUAGCCGACCUGAGCGGGUGAUCGGCCACACUGGAACUGAGAUACGGCCCAGACGCCGAGGGGAGGCAGCAGUAGGGAAUCUUCCGCAAUGGGCGAAAGCCUGACGGAGCAACGCCGCGUGAGUGAUGAAGGUCUUCGGAUCGUAAAACGCUGUUAUUAGGGAAGAACAAAUGUGUAAGUAACUAUGCACGUCUUGACGGUACCUAAUCAGAAAGCCACGGCUAACUACGUG
RNAcentral lists this ribosomal RNA (497 nucleotides) under uncultured bacterium. Its description in RNAcentral is "partial 16S ribosomal RNA". It matches the Rfam family "Bacterial small subunit ribosomal RNA", at positions 28 to 507 of the family's 1533-position model. The record is from RNAcentral.